Molecule: ribosomal RNA, 496 nt
Filed under: uncultured bacterium
Lineage: Bacteria
Description: partial 16S ribosomal RNA
Rfam family: Bacterial small subunit ribosomal RNA
Source: RNAcentral
AUGAACGCUGGCGGCGUGCCUAAUACAUGCAAGUCGCGCGCACGGACGAGAAGCUUGCUUCUCUGAUGUUAGCGGCGGACGGGUGAGUAACACGUGGAUAACCUACCUAUAAGACUGGGAUAACUUCGGGAAACCGUAGCUAAUACCGGAUAAUAUUUUGAACCGCAUGGUUCAAAAGUGAAAGACGGUCUUGCUGUCACUUAUAGAUGGAUCCGCGCUGCAUUAGCUAGUUGGUAAGGUAACGGCUUACCAAGGCAACGAUGCAUAGCCGACCUGAGAGGGUGAUCGGCCACACUGGAACUGAGACACGGUCCAGACUCCUACGGGAGGCAGCAGUAGGGAAUCUUCCGCAAUGGGCGAAAGCCUGACGGAGCAACGCCGCGUGAGUGAUGAAGGUCUUCGGAUCGUAAAACUCUGUUAUUAGGGAAGAACAUAUGUGUAAGUAACUGUGCACAUCUUGACGGUACCUAAUCAGAAAGCCACGGCUAACUACGUG